UACGUAGGGUGCAAGCGUUGUCCGGAAUUAUUGGGCGUAAAGAGCGUGUAGGCGGUUAGGUAGGUCCGUUGUGAAAACUCGAGGCUCAACCUCGAGACGCCGAUGGAAACCCCCUAACUAGAGUCCGGAAGAGGAGAGUGGAAUUCCUGGUGUAGCGGUGAAAUGCGCAGAUAUCAGGAAGAACACCCGUGGCUAAGGCGGCUCUCUAGUACGGUACUGACGCUGAGACGCGAAAGCGUGGGGAGCGAACAGG
This 253-nucleotide ribosomal RNA is filed under the name uncultured bacterium. RNAcentral describes it as "partial 16S ribosomal RNA". It matches the Rfam family "Bacterial small subunit ribosomal RNA", at positions 524 to 776 of the family's 1533-position model. The record is from RNAcentral.